Molecule: long non-coding RNA, 3353 nt
Organism: Chrysolophus pictus (golden pheasant)
Lineage: Eukaryota; Metazoa; Chordata; Aves; Galliformes; Phasianidae
Source: Ensembl
CCCAUCAAAGAAACAGUCGCUUUUUUGCUAUCACAGCUGUAAUGCAAUUUCAUGUGCUGUCCUUAAGAUUGGUACACACACUGUGAUUUCUCAUAUACAGCUGUCAGCAAUAACCUUUUGUGGCAGCAGAGAGAAAAAUUCCCUGAAAUACAUAUUUCACUAACAUACACUUGUAGACCUUAAAUCCUGUCUAAGCACAUACAGCUGUGUUUCUCUGAUCUCUGGUGUAGUGGAGAUUUGUGCUUUUUGCUUUCAGGUAGACCAGAAGCAGUCAGUGCACUCUGAGAGAAGGAGCUCUGAGGGACUUUGCAGCUCAGCUUCCAUUCUGCUCACCUGGUGCACCCUCUGCUCUCCUACGUAUGCAGAGAAACAUAUUUUGAAUUCUGAUUGUUGAAAGAAAGAAAACUUUCUGAAAUUUAGUUCACAGAGCUUGCUGGAAUAACGUCCAACACAGCUGAAGGAAGACAGAGAAGGAUAGCCAGGGAGACGUCCCCAAGAGCUUGCCAUUCCCAGGAAGAAAAUGACAUCUCAGUACCUGGGCAUCCCUGACCACAGCACACUCAUCUCUAGUUGAAGUGCAGCUCCACACAGUUGGGUUGGAUGCUCCAAGGAAUACCUCAAGUUCUCCCGUGCCUUCAGGAUAUGGCUGACAGCACUGCACAAAUGUGACUGAGAUCCUGAUAAGCGAGAGAAAUGAUAUGGAUGCAUAAGUUUACCAAAACCAGAAAUAACAGAAUUUUGCUGGAAUGACAGAUGGAACAAAACUUUCGUGAAUAUGGAUGGAGGAUGUUUGGGCACCUAUUACAGUAUGUUAAAUGCCCAGAUGGUGCUGGUGGAUUACUGCUGCCCAUCCAUUCUCCAGGCACUGCACACCUGGGGCCAUUGGGAACAACAAGGCUGUGAGACCACCAGGUCCUUCUGCUGCAUCGUUGCACCUCUCCUGCUCACACUGCACCUGGUUUCCUUGAAAGAGUUAAUGAAGGAAAAGCUUGUCUGGCCAAGGGGCUGGUGUGGCUCCAGGACAGCCGUGACUCAGAGAUAGAGCAUCCUGCCAGAGCACCGGGCAGGCUCCUCAUCCUCAGCUCCUCCUCUCUCAGCACAGCAGUGUGAAUGUGUCCAGCAUCAUGGCUAGGAGGGUUUGUCCUAUACAGCACCUGCUCUUCCCACUCAGCUCCACACUCUUGGCUUGCUUAAGAAACUCCUUACCUCAUGUCUGUGGGUAGGACCUGGUACAUCUGGCUGUAUCGUGUGGGUCGGCGGUGCACAGCCCUUGGUAAUCUCAUUGGGGCUCUCUACAGAACAGAAAAAGGUUAAGAGGAUGAUUUACAAGAGUAAGGAAAAGGCCAAAGGAGGACAGGAACAGACAGACUGGGUGAGUUAUUCAAAGGUUUGACCAGAGUAUGACCAGAUAGGGCUCAAAAAGAAGCGUGGAGCAACGAGAUUUGGUGGCAGUGUCACAACCUGGCCCAUGCUCAAUCACACACAAUCCUCUGUCCCAGGUGCAUGUUAAUAGUUUUGUAUAAAACAGAUGCUUUCCUUCUCCUCAGCCCCUUGCCCUCUGCCCAAUGACCAAUGAGGGGUCCCACAAAGCACAAACAUGAUGGCAGCGGAGGUGCAGCAGAGCAGGGUAGGAUGUGUGGUCCUGGCAAUAAGUAGAACUACACCACUUUGAACCCAGGUUGGCAGAGCAUAAACACGUGGAUUAGCACCAACGCAACAGAUCAGAACCCAAGGAGGAGGGCUCAAACAAGUCGUAAUUUGUAACAACAACAAAACUGCAGGGUUUCAUCACUUCAGCUCCCAACCCUCACACCUCAACCUCGCCGCAAGGAAAACAGCUGUCUCCCUGUUCUCCCACAUCUGCCCUAAACAUCCCGUUGGGGCAGCCAGCCUGGGAAGCACUGCUUGUUGGGUGGAACACCGCUGUCUGGAGCUGUGAGUUGUCAGAGCAAUCACUGUGGGGUGGGGACAAGAAAAGGACACAGUGUUCAAUGCUGGAUCUGUUUGGAGAGUAGAAAAUUGUUCCCGUGCAACCCUUCUUUUGCAGCAGCCAGGCUGCAGGGUGCUGCAUGCACAGAGCUGCAGGUCCAGCUGCGAGUGCCCCAACGUUGCUGUGCUGUUUGGCUGCAGCUGCUGCUGCAUCAGAGGUGACUGCAGAUCGACAAGACAGGGAGACAGCACAACUGUAGGCACCUUCAUCUGCUGCAUGCAUAAUCCUCGGUGCUGAACCCGCUCCAAACUCAUCCCCAGGUCUUAUCUUUUCUAAACUGGGUAUUUAUUCAUGUGGUUGUUUUAUGUAAACUGCAAAGAGCCUCGUUAAAUGGAAACCUUCCCUCGUGAGCUUCAUUAUUAAGGUGGAACGGCACUCGGAACGCGCUGAGCAAAAUCCCUGAGCUUUGGUGUUGCUUGGGGAAGGAAUGCUCGAUGCUGGCAGCCCGGGGCUGAGCCCACCUGUCUCCCCCAUUCAGGAGCAUGCUCUGUUCUGGGAUGAGGCACUGCAAUGGGCACCGUGUGCAGGAAGCCCCUAGGAGAAGCCCUGAAGAACAAAAUGGGGACCUGCCCUGCCCCAGCAGUCCAGCACUGGGCCCUUUGGCUUCUGGAGAAAGAUGGAGCAGCAGUGAGGCUGACCUGGGCUGUAGCUCCAGGCUUGGGUCUGGCUGACAUGGAACUGUGGAAGGGGAUGAGGUUUUGCAGCUAAAAUUUCCCAUUGCUGGAAUGCUGGCCAUGUAAAUCCCAGUGUUUUUGUGGGUCCCUGUUCUCAUUUGUAUUAUAAAUGCUCAUGGCAGAGUUGAUAGCAGAAGACACAUACACAUGGUUAUGGAUGCAUGCAUCAACCUGAGGCUGGAAAUGAAUUGGGCUGUGUGUAUUUUCCCUUCUUUAGCCCAACUGAACUCAAUCCUGCUUUCCCAGGACUGAACGCCAAUAGGAACCACUGCAGAUGAGUUGUUUCCUUUUGGUAACAGACACACACGAUGAAGCAGUGUGAUAUUUGGGGAACGGGCUGAGAGAGCAGAGAGGGACUGGAUGCUCUGGCAGCGCCCAGUGCAUGCUGAGCCCUUUGCAGUGGUCACCCCAGUGCCCCACUGGGAGCCAUGCAUUGCUUCUGCUGCGUUCGGUGCCUCUCAGCCCCCGCAUGCAUCUCCAGCUGAAGGACUCGAGAGCUGAUAGAGCUUUUUAAAGUGGGGAUUAUGUAAAUGCAUAUUAUGGCGCUUUCAUAAACAGGGAUUAUUUGUCGAAUGCUUUCGAGUGCUUCCUUCGCAGCGAUUAAGGUCUGUUGUGUAAAUAGGAAUUUAGUGGCUGCUUAGUCUAAAUUUCAUUGGUUCAAUAAAAGAUGAGAGCAGCACUUUUUUGCA